GUGGGACCCCUCAGCCUCACCCUCUCUAGGGCGCAGCAAGUCCGCCGCGAGCCCCUCUGCUCAUCGCUCGUUACCCCCCAGGCCCUUGGGCUUGGGCUCAGGCCCAGUCGUUCCUCUGCAACAAAUCCAAUGGAACCGCGCCCUCCCUGAAUCCCACGUCUAGGAAGAGGAGGAGGAGCCCCUCUUGCUUGGGGGAAGGGGCUCCCGACUCGGAGCCCCGAGCCCCAUUCCUCUCCCGCGCCAGCUCUUCGGGACGCGGCCUCCCAGCGGACGCCCUGAGACCUUGCAAGUCCGCUAGGGAGGGGUCGGGACGAGCCGUCGCGGGUGGAUCCGCCCGGCCGAGCAACGACCCGCCCGGGCGCGAGGACCACGGGCUGUCGUGCGGGAGGCGUCGAGGGGCAGUAAACUCCGUUCGUGACCAAACGGAGACGAUUUGAAACUUGCUGCUCACACUGGAUCACCGUCUGGAAGGUGCGACGGGGAAAAAAUACACAUUACACUCCAGCAGGAUUGAACGCUUUCACCCUGUGCCCCGCGCCUGGCGUAACGCGUGGCCCCAGACCACACGCUGUAACCCGGGGUGAGAGGGAGUGAGGUGGGACUUCGUACCGGACCCGGAGCGCCGGCCUCGCCCGCGCGGGCAGCGUUCACUGUGGGGAGUGCUCACUCAGCCUAGGGCGGCCCGGGAGGACUGCCGGGAGGAGGGAGUCGGCCUUGAAUUGAGGCCUCAGCCUUGAAUAGGGUAGGGAGGCAAGCCUAGCCGAGAGUUUAGCACUAGCAAAAGCCUGGAGGCACCAGGGUCUGCCCUAAGAACUGCAGCGCCUCUGCUCUGGCUGGGAUUUAACGCAUUACGUCUCUGCUGUUUAUAGGUGUUGUGUUUGGUCUUACGACUUCGUAUUCUAUAGUUUUUAUUUAUUCCUGUUUUCUGAAUUUUCCCACAUUUGCUUUUAUCUUCUAUCGUGAUUUUCAAGGCAGAAAGUAUUUUUAAUUCUUCUCGCGGCUGCCUUUAGAUUUAUCAAAUGAAAAUAGUUUACAUUUCACACAUUAGUAAAGUCAGUGACAAAUAAUUCGUUUUUAUAUUCCCCCAUGAGAAAUUUUGUGUGCUUUUCUGCCUCCUACCUGCCGCCCUCACUACUUAUAUUUGUCCACUUAAUCAGGACGACAGACCUAACUUUUGUUUACACUUUUUUUUUAAGCCACAACAUUCUUUUUCAAUCCUUGUUUUUGGCUUUUGCCAACUCUGUUUAAUUGGUUUCAAUGUUACUGCCGGUUUUUUGUGCUCUAAUUUUUCUAUUCCUCAUUUGGACCCAUCUCUCACAUGACUGGUGAUUUCAGGGAGGACUCUGGAAUGUUGUAUUUCCUAAGCCUUUGCCUUAGGUGAGAAUGCCUUUAUAAUGAUUUCCUGUUUAUAGGAUUCUUGAGUCUCAAGCUUUCCCCCUCAAAACUCUUGUCUUUAUUUCAUUGUCUUCUGGCACUGAAAAUGCAAAGCUGGGUUUGUCUGUUUAAGGUCAGCAGUUUGCUUGGUGCUUGCAAGGGUUUUUCUUUACCCUCAAAAGUCAAACAUUUUGCCAGUAUAAAUCAAUAUGGGCCUUAUCUAUUAAUUUUCCAGAAACAAAAGAGGUCUUCUUUGUAGCUUAGAAAAGUUUUCUUCCUGUCCAUUCUGUGAAAAGAUUUGGGUUUUUUUCUUUCCUCUCCUCUAAAACUAUCACAUUGGAUCACCAAUGUCAAAUAAAUCUGUUUGUUUUCUCUGCACCCUGGGAGACUAUAUCAAGUUUUUCUUCACCAUUACGGAUUUAAUUUUCUUCAGAGCCAAGAGUACUGUUUAUUUUCUCCAAUAAGACAUUUGAUUCUGCUUGUUUUAUUUUUCUUUCAGCCAAUUUCCAUUCCACCUCUGUCUUGAUCUCAACUUAAUCUCUCUUUGUAGUCUCCAUUCCUAUUUCAUAGACUAAUGUGGUUUUGCAUCUUUAAAAGAACACCAGGAAAAUAAGAGAAUACUAUCUAUAUCUGACUCUGGUCCAAUGCAUAUGAAAACUUUUUUGUUUUUUUGAGACAGAGUCUCACUUAAAAUUUACACAAACUCUAGCAUAGUGUGUAACUAUUGAAUGAAUAACUAAUGCAAUCCCCUUCCUUUCUUUCAGAGCAACUAUGAACUAGACUUUUUUUUUUUUUUUUUUUUUUUUUUUUUCUGAAAUGGAGUCUCCCUCUGGAAUGCAAUGGUGCAAUCUCAGCCCACUGCAACGUUCGCCUCCUGGGUUCAAGCAAUUCUCCUGCCUCAGCCUCCUGAGUAGCUGGGAUUACAGGCAUGUGCCACCACCACGCCGGGCUAAUUUUUGUAUUUUUAGUAGAGACGGGGUUUCAUUAUGUUGGUCAGGCUGGUCUCGAACUCCUGACCUUGAGAUCCGCCCGCCUCGGCCUCCCAAAGUGCUGAGAUUAGACUAUUUGUAUCUAGGUUCAUCAGUUCAGUGAACUAAUCAAUACUUUGUUUUGUUUUGUUUUGUUGUUGCUUAAGAUGAUUUGUCACCUGCUGAUUAAUGAUCACACAAGUUGUUUUUUUUUGAGAGAGUCUUGCUCUGUCACCCAGGCUGGAGUGCAGUGGCAUGAUCUUGGCUCCCUGCAACCUCCGCCUCCCGGGUUUAAGUGCUUCUUUUGCCUCAGUCUCAGUAGCUGGCAUUACAGGCGUGCACCAUUACACCCAGCUAAUUUUUUGUAUUUUUAGUAGAGACAGUGUUUCGCCAUGUUGGCCAGGCUGGUCUCGAAUUCCUGGCCUCAAGUGAUCCACCCUCCUCCACCUUCCAAAGUGCUGGGAUUACAGAACUGAGCCACCGUGCCCGGCCCUGAAAACCUUGAUAAAGGGGCUCAUUUUCUGGGAAAUAAAAUUACAAGGAUAACAAAGAUAUUAAAAACAUCAUCCAAGAAAUAUGUCCAAAAAAGGUUCUGGUGGCCGGCAUCGUUGCUCACGCCUAUAAUCUCAACACUUUAGGAGGCCGAGGCAGGAGGAUGGCUUGAGCCCAGGAGUUCAAGACCAGCCUGGACAACAUAGGGAGACCCUGUCUCUACAAAAAAAUUUAAAAAUUGGGCUGGGCAUGGUGGCUUACACCUGUAAUCCCAGCACUUUGGGAGACCAAGGCAGGUGGAUCACCUGAAGUCAGGAGUUUGAGACCAGCCUGGCCAACAUUAGUGAAACCCCAUCUUUACCAAAAAAUACAAAAAUUAGCCAGUUGUGGUGGUGAAUGCCUGUAGUCCCAGCUACUCGGGAAGCUGAGGCAAGAGAAUCACUUGAACCCAGGAGGUGGAAGUUGCAGUGAGCUGAGAUUGCGCUGUUGCACUCCAGCCUGGGCGACAGAGUGAGACCCUGUCUCAAAAAAAAAAAAAAAAAAAAAUUAAAAAAUUAGCUAGGCACAGUGGUGCACACCUGUGAUCUCAGCUACUCAGGAGGCUGAGGUUGGAUGAUGGCUUGGGCCUGGGAGGUUCAGGCUGCAAGUGGGCCGUGAUCGUGCUACUGCACUCUAGUCUGGGCAGCAGAGCAAGACCUUGUCUCAAAAAUAAAUAAAUGAAAUUUUAAAAAGGCUCUGGCCUCAGACAGUUUAAUGGAAGAAAUCUCUCAAACUCACUGAAUAGAUAAUUUUCACCCUACUAAUCUGCAUCAGAACCCAGAAAAGAUAGAAUGCUGUCUAUUUCAUUUUAUGAAGCCACAAUUCCCCUUAUACCAAUUCCUAAUAAUAGCACAGGAAGAAAGGAAAACUGAAAACCAUACUCAUCAGUCAUCAGUUCCAGGGGUGGAAAAUCCUACAUACAAUUCAAGAAAAUAAAACUGUAGAUUAUUCUGUAUGAAAUUAAUAAGCCAUGAGUUUGUCAACUGAGAAAAAAAAACAAUUAUCAUAAUAGAUGCCAAAAAAAUCAGUCAAAAAUGAAUACCCAAAAAGAACCCUCCUAAUUAACCAGGAACAGUUGAAAUUAAGAAUUAUGUAUUACCGGCCAGGCACGGUGGCUCAUGCCUUAAUCCCAGCACUUUGGGAGGCUGAGGUGGGUAGAUCACCUGAAGUCAGGAGUUUGAGACCAGCCUGGCCAAUAUGGUGAAGCCUCAUCUCUACUAAAAAUACAAAAAUUAGCUGGGUGGGGUGGCAAGUGCCUGUAAUCCCAGCGACUCAGGAGGCUGAAGCGGGAGGAUCACCUGAACUUGGGAGGUCGUGACUGCAGUGAACAGUCAUCAUGCCACUGCACAAUGCAGCCUGGGCUACAGAGUGAGUUGCCAUCUCAAAAAAAAAAAAAAAAAAAAAAAAGCCACGUGAGAUGUGAGUUCCUGUUUCCCUACAGCCUCACCAGCAUAGGAUAUCAUUAGUCUUUUAAAUAUUUGUUUUAAUCACGUCUUCUUUGCCCCAUAGCUGACGGAGGGGUUCCCACUCUCAUGUGAUGGCAGUGGCCAAACACAACACCUGACACUGGGCAGCUCUCAACUUUGGCUGCACACUGGAAUCUCCUACUCAUGCUCCCUGACUAUGCCCUCACAGAUUCUGAUUUGACUGGUCCUGGGUGCAACGGGGCUGGCAUGAGACGACUAAAAACUCCCCAGGUGAAUCCAAUGAGCAACCAGGCUAAGGACCAGUGAUCUAACUGUAAGUCAUUCUCUUCUUUUCCCUUUGUAAUUUUAUGUUUCCACCUCAUACUGUGGUUGGCUACAUCUGUUUCUUCCCUCUCCUACUAGAAUGUAGGCUCCAGAUGGCCUUCCAAACAAUACAUGUGGCCCUUCACGCUCCAGGUGAUGACAAGUACCCGUUGCUGAUGGAAGUAGCAGAGUCAUACCUUUCUUGGAAUUUAGGUUCUACAGUCAAUGCUUAUGGCACCCAAUGAGUCAAAAACACCCUUGGCAACUCCUAAGGAAGGCUCUGCCCUGGAACCUGAUGUACUGUUUCCCCAUCACCAUCCAGGGAGAGUUUCCUCCUGGGCCGGAACAGAAAGCUGCCUCCUCCAUCAGGCACCAGAGGAAGUAGGGGGCUUCUGUUUAGGGACCACUUUGCAUAAAUACACAUUUAAACAUGUGCCUCACCCUCAGCACAGCAGGAUGCUCACGCCAUGAACAGCCAACAGGAACCAGAGUGACCGACCCUCCAGGAGGUACACACCUCCCUCCCAUCCCACCCACUUCUGAGCAUAUGGUUCUCACAUCCACCAGUGGGUGGAAUCACCCACACCAUUUAAACUUUUUGUCAAGGAUGUAGAGCUGAAUUCAUGUGAUUUCCCACAUGAGCAAUGUCCCUCCCUCCACUGCACAAUUAUAGCCAGCUCAAGCAGGUCCUCUCCUUCCUUCUACCUGCCCUGCAAAUGGCUCUCUCCUUCACUGACCCCCCGCCCUCCUUCUUAAAGGCUGAUGCUCCCUAGGACUCUAUCCUUGAUGCUUCUCAUUAAUUCUUCUCCCCGCUGGCUCUCAGCCCUACUUAGGGCUCCUGAUCAGUUAAAAAAGACCCAUGAGACCUCCCCUCCCCAGUUAACAGAGAUGUGGCCCAAGAGGCUCCCCACUUCUAAUUUGAGUGGGGGCAAAAGAAGAGAAAGAUCUUAUCUAGGUCUUGGGGGCAGGGCUUGCAGGGCACAAAGAAACAGAGUAAAUGUGCAACAGGCUAUUUUCUUGAAUGAAUGGAUUCAUAAUAAGAACAGGACUUCACCAGCUUCCAAGGGACCCUCCCCACCUCUCGGAUAUAUUCUGAAGCCUAAAUUUCACCUGCUUAUCUAGGAUCCUAGGCCAGGCCUUCUGCCACACCAAGCCACACCAAGCUCAGCAGUACUCACAGGCCUUUAAUCUAUAACUGCCUG
RNAcentral lists this long non-coding RNA (5805 nucleotides) under Homo sapiens (human). RNAcentral's name for it is "non-protein coding lnc-ITPA-2:3". The record is from RNAcentral. Lineage: Eukaryota; Metazoa; Chordata; Mammalia; Primates; Hominidae.